AUGGACAAGAUCAGGAGAAAGAUUACUGUCAGGUUUGAGAAGAGGAGAAGGGUAGCUAGAAAAUUUCAAGGUCGACGUAUACUUCCAAGUGUCAUGAAGGAGUUGAAUGACAUAAGCAGGGGGCUGGACAUUGAAUAUGAGAGAAUAUAUGACAUGAUUGCAGAGGUGAGUGAGAGUGUUGCACUAGGUGGCAAGUGCCACGUCACUGAUCUAGCAAAUAGGACAUGCACAUGCAGGGCAUUUCAAGUCUCUGGGAAGCCUUGCAAACAUGCAAUUAGCUUUAUUACUGGAAUUAGGGGGGUCACAAUAGAAGACUUCGUUGAUGAUUGUUACAGCGUUGCCAAGUUCGUUGCAGCUUAUGCUCCUAUUCUUCCUGGCCUAACUGACAUGUCUCAAUGGCCUAGUGUGAACAAAGAAUUCUUCUUGAAUCCCCCAAUCCUUAGGAGGGCCCCUGGAGGCCAAAGAUGGCAAAGCUGCAAAGAUGCUGCUCCUGAAGCACUAGAAGCCUAUGCAGAAGUAGCAAAGCAAAAAAGGGACAAAAGAAAGAAAAAACCCAUUACAAAAGCUAUUUGUACAACAUCAGAUCAAGCAACUGAUGGUACACUACCUCUGCUUCCAUGUCCAAGAGAAAAUGAAACUGCACUAGCUCUACUUUCAUGUUCAAGUGAUGCAAUUGAAGACGAUGUUGCCAAGUCGACAUCAUCGAAGACUACUAAAUCUAGAAGAUUUAAUAUGUUGCUUGCUGAAUCUCUUCCAAAUGGUGUGGAUUUUCUUGAGUAUUACUCUGUUGCUCGAAAUAUUUAUAUUGGGGAAGUAAACUUUUGGUGCUUUAGAAACAAUCCUGCACAUAUAUAUCAGGUGACGUAUUGGCUUGCAGCUCGUGUGAGCAUCCACAGUGAUGGGUUCUUGUGCGGAUUAUCAGAGGCAGCAGCACCGUCGUGGAGUACAUGUACAUCAAUGUCGACGGUGCCGGCAGCAACGACACAAGGUGGGCGAUUUGACCAGCGCAACAUUCUUAUUUGA
Molecule: ribosomal RNA, 1023 nt
Filed under: Triticum aestivum (bread wheat)
Lineage: Eukaryota; Viridiplantae; Streptophyta; Magnoliopsida; Poales; Poaceae
Description: partial small subunit ribosomal RNA
Source: RNAcentral